CGAUCCCUAGCUGGUCUGAGAGGAUGACCAGCCACACUGGAACUGAGACACGGUCCAGACUCCUACGGGAGGCAGCAGUGGGGAAUAUUGCACAAUGGGCGCAAGCCUGAUGCAGCCAUGCCGCGUGUAUGAAGAAGGCCUUCGGGUUGUAAAGUACUUUCAGCGGGGAGGAAGGGAGUAAAGUUAAUACCUUUGCUCAUUGACGUUACCCGCAGAAGAAGCACCGGCUAACUCCGUGCCAGCAGCCGCGGUAAUACGGAGGGUGCAAGCGUUAAUCGGAAUUACUGGGCGUAAAGCGCACGCAGGCGGUUUGUUAAGUCAGAUGUGAAAUCCCCGGGCUCAACCUGGGAACUGCAUCUGAUACUGGCAAGCUUGAGUCUCGUAGAGGGGGGUAGAAUUCCAGGUGUAGCGGUGAAAUGCGUAGAGAUCUGGAGGAAUACCGGUGGCGAAGGCGGCCCCCUGGACGAAGACUGACGCUCAGGUGCGAAAGCGUGGGGAGCAAACAGGAUUAGAUACCCUGGUAGUCCACGCCGUAAACGAUGUCGACUUGGAGGUUGUGCCCUUGAGGCGUGGCUUCCGGAGCUAACGCGUUAAGUCGACCGCCUGGGGAGUACGGCCGCAAGGUUAAAACUCAAAUGAAUUGACGGGGGCCCGCACAAGCGGUGGAGCAUGUGGUUUAAUUCGAUGCAACGCGAAGAACCUUACCUGGUCUUGACAUCCACGGAAGUUUUCAGAGAUGAGAAUGUGCCUUCGGGAACCGUGAGACAGGUGCUGCAUGGCUGUCGUCAGCUCGUGUUGUGAAAUGUUGGGUUAAGUCCCGCAACGAGCGCAACCCUUAUCCUUUGUUGCCAGCGGUCCGGCCGGGAACUCAAAGGAGACUGCCAGUGAUAAACUGGAGGAAGGUGGGGACGACGUCAAGUCAUCAUGGCCCUUACGACCAGGGCUACACACGUGCUACAAUGGCGCAUACAAAGAGAAGCGACCUCGCGAGAGCAAGCGGACCUCAUAAAGUGCGUCGUAGUCCGGAUUGGAGUCUGCAACUCGACUCCAUGAAGUCGGAAUCGCUAGUAAUCGUGGAUCAGAAUGCCACGGUGAAUACGUUCCCGGGCCUUGUACACACCGCCCGUCACACCAUGGGAGUGGGUUGCAAAAGAAGUAGGUAGCUUAACCUUCGGGAGGGCGCUUACCACUUUGUGAUUCAUGACUGGGGUGAAGUCGUAACAAGGUAACCGUAGGGGAACCUGCGGUUGGAUCACCUCCUU
RNAcentral lists this ribosomal RNA (1262 nucleotides) under Shigella flexneri. Its description in RNAcentral is "bacterial SSU rRNA". It matches the Rfam family "Bacterial small subunit ribosomal RNA", at positions 277 to 1532 of the family's 1533-position model. The record is from RNAcentral. Lineage: Bacteria; Pseudomonadati; Pseudomonadota; Gammaproteobacteria; Enterobacterales; Enterobacteriaceae.